CCAGUCUGCCCUGAUUCAGCCUCCCUCCGUGUCCGGGUCUCCUGGACAGUCAGUCACCAUCUCCUGCACUGGAACCAGCAGUGAUGUUGGGAGUUAUGACUAUGUCUCCUGGUACCAACAGCACCCAGGCACAGUCCCCAAACCCAUGAUCUACAAUGUCAAUACUCAGCCCUCAGGGGUCCCUGAUCGUUUCUCUGGCUCCAAGUCUGGCAAUACGGCCUCCAUGACCAUCUCUGGACUCCAGGCUGAGGACGAGGCUGAUUAUUAGUGCUGCUCA
RNAcentral lists this long non-coding RNA (277 nucleotides) under Homo sapiens (human). RNAcentral's name for it is "non-protein coding lnc-IGLL5-10:1". Lineage: Eukaryota; Metazoa; Chordata; Mammalia; Primates; Hominidae. The record is from RNAcentral.